RNAcentral lists this transfer RNA (66 nucleotides) under Pseudorimula sp. RSIO35641. Its description in RNAcentral is "tRNA-Asn". Lineage: Eukaryota; Metazoa; Mollusca; Gastropoda; Lepetellida; Lepetodrilidae. The record is from RNAcentral.
UAAGCAGAAGCCAAUACCCGGGCGCCUAGCUGUUAAUUAGGAAGUUGUAUGAAUUUACCUGCUUAG